AUACGUAGGGGGCGAGCGUUGUCCGGAAUGAUUGGGCGUAAAGGGCGCGUAGGCGGCGCGGUAAGUCUGGAGUGACAGUCCUGCUUUCAAGGUGGGAAUUGCUUUGGAUACUGCCGCGCUUGAGUGCAGGAGAGGUUAUCGGAAUUCCCGGUGUAGCGGUGAAAUGCGUAGAGAUCGGGAGGAACACCAGUGGCGAAGGCGGGUAACUGGACUGCAACUGACGCUGAGGCGCGAAAGUGUGGGGAGCAAACAGGAUUAGAUACCCUGGUAGUCCACACUGUAAACGAUGAAUGCUAGGUGUAAGAGGUAUCGACCCCUUUUGUGCCGGAGUCAACACAAUAAGCAUUCCGCCUGGGGAGUACGGCCGCAAGGUUGAAACUCAAAGGAAUUGACGGGG
Molecule: ribosomal RNA, 397 nt
Filed under: uncultured bacterium
Lineage: Bacteria
Description: partial 16S ribosomal RNA
Rfam family: Bacterial small subunit ribosomal RNA
Source: RNAcentral